UAUGAACGCUGGCGGCGUGCCUAAUACAUGCAAGUCGAGCGAACAGAUGAGGAGCUUGCUCCUCUGACGUUAGCGGCGGACGGGUGAGUAACACGUGGAUAACCUACCUAUAAGACUGGGAUAACUUCGGGAAACCGGAGCUAAUACCGGAUAAUAUAUUGAACCGCAUGGUUCAAUAGUGAAAGACGGUUUUGCUGUCACUUAUAGAUGGAUCCGCGCCGCAUUAGCUAGUUGGUAAGGUAACGGCUUACCAAGGCAACGAUGCGUAGCCGACCUGAGAGGGUGAUCGGCCACACUGGAACUGAGACACGGUCCAGACUCCUACGGGAGGCAGCAGUAGGGAAUCUUCCGCAAUGGGCGAAAGCCUGACGGAGCAACGCCGCGUGAGUGAUGAAGGUCUUCGGAUCGUAAAACUCUGUUAUUAGGGAAGAACAAAUGUGUAAGUAACUAUGCACGUCUUGACGGUACCUAAUCAGAAAGCCACGGCUAACUACGUG
This 497-nucleotide ribosomal RNA is filed under the name uncultured bacterium. RNAcentral describes it as "partial 16S ribosomal RNA". It matches the Rfam family "Bacterial small subunit ribosomal RNA", at positions 29 to 507 of the family's 1533-position model. The record is from RNAcentral.